AGUGAACGCUGGCGGUAGGCCUAACACAUGCAAGUCGAACGGCAGCACAGUAAGAGCUUGCUCUUACGGGUGGCGAGUGGCGGACGGGUGAGGAAUACAUCGGAAUCUACUUUUUCGUGGGGGAUAACGUAGGGAAACUUACGCUAAUACCGCAUACGACCUACGGGUGAAAGCAGGGGAUCUUCGGACCUUGCGCGAUUGAAUGGGCCGAUGUCGGAUUAGCUAGUUGGCGGGGUAAAGGCCCACCAAGGCGACGAUCCGUAGCUGGUCUGAGAGGAUGAUCAGCCACACUGGAACUGAGACACGGUCCAGACUCCUACGGGAGGCAGCAGUGGGGAAUAUUGGACAAUGGGCGCAAGCCUGAUCCGGCCAUACCGCGUGGGUGAAGAAGGCCUUCGGGUUGUAAAGCCCUUUUGUUGGGAAAGAAAAGCAGCAGGUUAAUACCCCGCUGUUCUGACGGUACCCAAAGAAUAAGCACCGGCUAACUUCGUG
This 492-nucleotide ribosomal RNA is filed under the name uncultured bacterium. RNAcentral's name for it is "partial 16S ribosomal RNA". It matches the Rfam family "Bacterial small subunit ribosomal RNA", at positions 29 to 507 of the family's 1533-position model. The record is from RNAcentral.